UACGUAGGGAGCAAGCGUUAUCCGGAUUUAUUGGGUGUAAAGGGUGCGUAGACGGGAAAAUAAGUUAGCUGUGAAAUCCCUCGGCUUAACUGAGGAACUGCAACUAAAACUGUUUUUCUUGAGUACUGGAGAGGAAAGUGGAAUUCCUAGUGUAGCGGUGAAAUGCGUAGAUAUUAGGAGGAACACCAGUGGCGAAGGCGACUUUCUGGACAGAAACUGACGUUGAGGCACGAAAGUGUGGGGAG
Molecule: ribosomal RNA, 245 nt
Filed under: uncultured Eubacteriales bacterium
Lineage: Bacteria; Bacillati; Bacillota; Clostridia; Eubacteriales
Description: uncultured Clostridiales bacterium partial 16S ribosomal RNA
Rfam family: Bacterial small subunit ribosomal RNA
Source: RNAcentral